AGUGCGACUGGCCCUUACAUGCUGGUAUAUGUCAGACUCUUAGCAUCACUCUCAUUUCAUACUGCUGUUGAUGAUGUGAAUUUUGGAAAUAUUCUCCCCUAUUGGGUCUUUCUCCAUGACAGAUGAUGUCCUUUGGCUUCGGUUUUUUGCCUAAGAACUGUAAGUGGUGCUUGCUAGCCCUACUAAGAAUCCUGCCAUUGUUGCAAAUUUCAGAAAAAAGGUAAUGCAUUUAAGGAACUUUUCCCUUUGUUACAAUUAUUUUCUUUCUAUAUUAAGUAGCUUAUAAUUAGGAUAAAGAGAUUACAGAAACAGGGAUGGAGAAGGACGGGUUGAGGGGAGGAGAGAGAGUGCUGGAGAGACAAUAUCAUCACUAGGAAAAGACAUGAGUAAAAAAAUAGCGCAAACAAGAAUUAUGCUCCUCAAAAAAGAGCUUUCUGGUCACCUUGCAAGGAUUCUAUAAAAGUUACAGGUUACAAUCGAAAUAAGUAAAAUAUUUAGUUAACAAGGAAAUGUGCAUCGUGCACAUAAUUACUGAAAGUUAUUACCAGUCACUGUGGUAGGAACUGGGGAUUAGAGAGAGAACGGAUCUGUAGUUCUAGCCUCAAGGAGUUACUGUUUAGCAUUAGAGGCAAAAUGAAAAAGUACUCAUUGUUUCUGCCCAUGUUUGCAAAAAGGGGACAAGUUAUUGGUCCCCAAAGUAAAUGAGAUAAUGAGAAAAAACUUCAGGGAAAAAACUGAGAAUACUAUAGCUGAUUAACUUACUGUUUAGUUCUCUUAAAAAUAUCUACCUUCUUAUCAUUAUAAUUCUGGAAUGAAAAUCAGGAGGACUGCCUAGUACUGCCAAUUCUGACAGUGAUCUGGCUGGAGUGCAGUGGUGCACACGCCUCACACUGUGACACAGCGGGAGAGCCCAGAGCGACAGCUGUUGGAAUGACUGCACUCUUCCUGCUCAAGUCUGACCUUUCCAAGCCUUUGUCCUAUGUCUGGAGACUUCUUGGAAGCUGGAGCACACAAAUAGCUACAGCAAACUUGAGGAAUGGGCAUGAAUAGACUGGCUUCGGGGAACCUGCCAGCUUGGCCGUGUGGCCAAGGUAAUAGGCAAGCCAAGGCAGAGCUAGAGCUCAGAGCUGGAGGGGAAAUUAAAGCAGCAAAUGUAGAAACAUUAAGCCUGAAGAGGCGACGACGUUGAAUUCUAAAAUGCAGGCCAAAGCUCAGACUGCAAGCUGUCUGGCUGCUCCGGGUGUGCCCAGAAGUCAAAGUCCAGCAGGGGCAAAGGUGGAGGUGUGGUCCUGCACGUGGGGUGUUGGGGGGAUGUGGAAGAGGAGGUGCUUUAAGAUCCAGAGAUUCCAGCUGCCCUGGUGCACCCUUGGAAGAAUAAAAGGCUAGGAACUGGACAAGUCAGGCUCGAGUCCAAGCUGCCUGAGGAAUCGGGGAAAGAAUGGAGCUCAGAGUGGGAGGUCAGGGCAGUAUUUAAAAAUCCAGGAUAGCAGCAAAGCUGGCGGUGGCCCCUGACUCUGGUAAGGGCAGCCUGCAGCACCAUGCCAAGGGGGGCCUGACUGAUCAUGCCCUGCAUUUGCAAACAAGGAUUAGUAGGGUAUGAGUAGGAUUCUGCUGGUGCCUGGGAAGGCAGUGCCAUCUACAACUUUACAAAGUUUUAACAAAGGCCUGAAGGACACAACCUUCCCCAAAGUCCUGACGUCGCUGUUUGCUGGCAACAAAUAGAGUCAAAAGAAGAGAGGCACAGAAUGUGCCAGGGGUGUGCUGCGUACAGCCCCGAUGACCACAAGGCCUUCUUGGGUCAAGUUCUGCCAUCUCUGGUUAAGAUGGGCUCACCCUCUAGGACCCUGAUUGAGUCCUCGGACCACCAAGAGUGCCCCACCAAGAGCCUCCCUCUUCUGGUGACUCGUGCCUGCUUCCCGUGGAGAGCUCCAGAAGGGAGGAAACUGUGAGGAGGUGGAGAACGUGGCAGGGAUCCUAACUUUCUUACUGAAGGAAGUUCUUCACAAGUACCCAUCUGCCUUCAGGGAAGAAAACAUAACUCAUUUUGGUCUUUCAAAUUCAGUUCUCAAAACCAAAUCCUGUUGUCAGCAAUCUGUGUCCCAACGCCUUCUUCAGCAACAGCAUUUUCCCUGUGGAAUUAGUUUCCAAUGUUCUUUCUUAAAUAAACCACUGAAGAUUAAAAGGAAUCCAGAUACCCACCACAUUUUGUUUCCUUAAUGAGUAAUUAUCACAUUUCUUUGGCUACUUAAAUGCAUUCUCUGAGUCAGGUAAAGGAGAUCGUAAUAGUUAAUCAACAAGAAGUAAUUCUUGGGUACUUAACAAUAGUCUAAGCACUUAAUCAUACUUAAAAUUGACUAUUAAUGAACCUUAUAAACCAUUUUGCAAUUCUGAAAGUGAAUUUCUCUGCAGGCUUAGAGAUUACUAAGCCAUUUAGAUCUUACCAAACAAAUAUUAUUCAUGCUUUAAUUCCUGGGAAAAGAAAUUUAGAAAAUGAGGUUAAUGUUCAGUUGUCCUUUCCUGAGUUUAACAAUUAUAUAUUCCAUCUGGGAUGCUCUGAACUCAGGUUAAACAUUCUUCAAGUUAUUCCCACAUUUUUCAAGUUAUUCCCACGUUAGUGACCUACUUUAUUAGUAUUAUUACUAAAGAAAAGGGCUGGGUGCGGUGGCCCACAUCUGUAAUCCCAGCACUUUGGGAGGCUGAAGCAGGAGGAUCACUUGAGCUUGGGAGUUCAAGACCAGCCUGAGAGGGAGACUCCGUCUCUACAAAAAAAAAAAAAUUAGCCAGGUAUGGUGGCACGCGCUCAUGGGCCCAGCUACUCAAGGAGGCUGAGGUGGGAGGAUCACGUGAACCUGGGAGGCAGAGCCUGCAGUGAGCCCUGGUUGUGCCUCUGUACUCAAGCCUGAGAGACAGAGUGAGACCCUGUCUCCAAACAAUAAAGUAAAAUAAAUAAAUAAAUAAAUAAGAAUGCAAAUCAAAGACAUUAAGAAAUAGCUUUACUUUAAUGUAGGCAUUUAAGGUAAAAUAGGUCACAUUCUCUUUUUUAAAAAAAUUACUGACCCACAGAAAAACAAGUCAAAAAGCAGACUAUUUCAUAUUAGUGUCUUUUUUUUAAAGAGGAUUAAUAUAAAUUGCCUUCUCACCUGUUUUUAAAAUAAAGGACUGAAUGAUAGAACUUAGACAACAAAUCUAGUAGCAUGAUAAAAGCCUUUCUUUGAUAGCUAGAAAAGGUAAACAAAGAAUAAAACAGGGUGAAGAAGAAAGAGGACAGAUAGAAUGUGAAUAUUAUCUACCUUUUUCUCAAGAUAAAACUAAUAUUGCUUUCUAAAAAGAAGCAAUUCUUUAGAGCAGAGGUCAGCAAACUUUUUCUAUAAAGAGCCAGAUAUUAACUAUUUUAUAAUUUGCAAACCACAUAAGUCCUCUGUUUCAUAUGGGUUUUUUUCUUUUUUCUUUUUAAACAAUACUUUAAAAAUGCUGAAAAUAUUCUUAGCUUACAUCUACAAAAAAGCAGGC
Molecule: long non-coding RNA, 3510 nt
Filed under: Homo sapiens (human)
Lineage: Eukaryota; Metazoa; Chordata; Mammalia; Primates; Hominidae
Description: non-protein coding LINC01010:11
Source: RNAcentral